Molecule: ribosomal RNA, 253 nt
Filed under: uncultured bacterium
Lineage: Bacteria
Description: partial 16S ribosomal RNA
Rfam family: Bacterial small subunit ribosomal RNA
Source: RNAcentral
GACAGAGGUGCCGAGCGUUAGGCGGAAUCACUGGGCUUAAAGCGUGUGUAGGCGGGCGGGCAAGUACCUUGUGAAAUCCCACGGCUCAACCGUGGAACGGCCGGGUAUACUGCCUGUCUUGAGCCAACUAGGGGCGAGCGGAACAGACGGUGGAGCGGUGAAAUGCGUAGAUAUGACAUAGAACACCAAUUGCGCAGGCAGCUUACUACACAGUAAUUGACACUGAGGCACGAAAGCGUGGGGAUCAAACAGG